This is a transfer RNA of Rosellinia necatrix, 98 nucleotides long. It matches the Rfam family "tRNA". From Rfam's summary of the family: Transfer RNA (tRNA) molecules are approximately 80 nucleotides in length. Their secondary structure includes four short double-helical elements and three loops (D, anti-codon, and T loops). Further hydrogen bonds mediate the characteristic L-shaped molecular structure. tRNAs have two regions of fundamental functional importance: the anti-codon, which is responsible for specific mRNA codon recognition, and the 3' end, to which the tRNAs corresponding amino acid is attached (by aminoacyl-tRNA synthetases). tRNAs cope with the degeneracy of the genetic code in two manners: having more than one tRNA (with a specific anti-codon) for a particular amino acid; and 'wobble' base-pairing, i.e. permitting non-standard base-pairing at the 3rd anti-codon position. The record is from Rfam. NCBI's taxonomy places the organism in Eukaryota, Fungi, Ascomycota, Sordariomycetes, Xylariales, Xylariaceae.
GGCAAGAUGGCCGAGUUGGUUAUGGCGUGAGGUUAAGGUCACCUUAGCACAAUUUCCUCAUGGAGCAAUCCGCGUGGGUUCAAGUCCCACUCUUGUCA